GACGAACGCUGGCGGCGUGCUUAACACAUGCAAGUCGAACGGAAAGGCCCUGCUUUUGUGGGGUGCUCGAGUGGCGAACGGGUGAGUAACACGUGAGUAACCUGCCCUUGACUUUGGGAUAACUUCAGGAAACUGGGGCUAAUACCGGAUAGGAGCUCCUGCUGCAUGGUGGGGGUUGGAAAGUUUCGGCGGUUGGGGAUGGACUCGCGGCUUAUCAGCUUGUUGGUGGGGUAGUGGCUUACCAUGGCUUUGACGGGUAGCCGGCCUGAGAGGGUGACCGGCCACAUUGGGACUGAGAUACGGCGCAGACUCCUACGGGAGGCAGCAGUGGGGAAUAUUGCACAAUGGGCGGAAGCCUGAUGCAGCAACGCCGCGUGCGGGAUGACGGCCUUCGGGUUGUAAACCGCUUUCGACUGUGACGAAGCGUGAGUGACGGUAAUGGGUAAAGAAGCACCGGCUAACUACGUG
RNAcentral lists this ribosomal RNA (468 nucleotides) under uncultured bacterium. RNAcentral describes it as "partial 16S ribosomal RNA". It matches the Rfam family "Bacterial small subunit ribosomal RNA", at positions 28 to 507 of the family's 1533-position model. The record is from RNAcentral.